UGGCUAAUUUUUGUAUUUUUAGUAGAGAUAGGGUUUCAUCGUGUUGGCUGGGCUGGUCUCAAACUCCUGACAUCUAGUGAUCUGCUUACUUCGGCCUCCCAAAGUGCUGGGAUUACAGGGUUGCAUCGAAUAAGACCUGAAACUCCACCAGGUGCCACAUGUCAGCAUAGUAAUGGUGCCACCUCUUACUGGAGCUUAAAUCACCGGAUCUUCCCACCUCCACAACUAAGGACAGAGGAUGCCGAAGGUGGCGCUCCUGCCUCUGGAUGCUGGGCUGCAGUGUCACGCUCCCAAGCCCACCUUAGUGUCUGACACCCGUGCUCCUCUCUGCAGCUGGGUGUCAUUGCAGCAUAUGGCAAUGAGCUGGCUCUGUUUCUCAUGGGCUGUGUGAAAUUUAGCCAGCUAAAUAAAAGGAUGCUACCACUAAUGGUAAUUCUUUCCUGUAAUUGUAAUUAAUUGGGAGGUAAUUAAUUUAAAAGGCUUAGCAUAGUGUCUGACACACAGUAAUCACUUACUAAAUAGUACUUACUAUUAUCUUAAACUAGCUUGAAGUCUGGACACUAUUUUUUUCUAGAGCACAAAGGGCAGAUUUGUGUGACCCAGAAUGGAUUUAGAAAUGGAUUUAAACCCAGAGGCGACUCUAGCACGGCAGAGUGGAGAAUCUGCUACCUUUUCUCUUCCAUUGUAUUUCAAUGUUUGAAGCACUCGUUGGUAGGAAGGUUAAUGGAAAGGCUCAGUGGAGUGUGUGUAUGCUUUUGUUUGUUUGUUUUUAGAGAUGGGGUUUCACCAUGUCAGCCAGGCUGGUCUCAAACUCCUGACCUCAGGUGAUCCACUCACCUCGGCCUCCUGAAGUGCUGGGAUUAUAGGAGUGAGCCACCACACCUGGCCUUUUUUUUUUUUUUUUUUUUUUUUGAGUAUUCAAAGUACAGUAACUUUUUCAGGGCAUUGCUUAGAAAUGGACGUGUGUGUGUGUGUGUGUGUGUGUGUGUGUGUUAUGCAUAAAUGAAUGAAUAAAUAAAUAUAGGCUUUUUUUUCUCUCUGAGACAGAGUUUUGCUCUUGUUUACCCAGGCUGGAGUGCAAUGGCGCUAUCUCGGCUCACCGCACCCUCUGCCUCCUGGGUUCAGGCAAUUCUCCUGCCUCAGCCUCCUGAGUAGCUGGGAUUACAG
This 1167-nucleotide long non-coding RNA is filed under the name Callithrix jacchus (white-tufted-ear marmoset). RNAcentral's name for it is "lncRNA (ENSCJAG00000083434.1)". The record is from RNAcentral. Lineage: Eukaryota; Metazoa; Chordata; Mammalia; Primates; Cebidae.